CCUACGGGGGGCAGCAGUGGGGAAUAUUGGACAAUGGGCGAAAGCCUGAUCCAGCCAUGCCGCGUGUGUGAAGAAGGCCUUCGGGUUGUAAAGCACUUUCAGUGGGGAAGAAAGCCUUGGGGCUAAUACCCUCGAGGAAGGACAUCACCCACAGAAGAAGCACCGGCUAACUCCGUGCCAGCAGCCGCGGUAAUACGGAGGGUGCGAGCGUUAAUCGGAAUUACGGGCGUAAAGCGCGCGUAGGCGGUCUGAUAAGCCGGUUGUGAAAGCCCCGGGCUCAACCUGGGAACGGCAUCCGGAAAUGUCAGGCUAGAGUGCAGGAGAGGAAGGUAGAAUUCCCGGUGGAGGGGUGAAAUGCGGAGGGAUCGGGAGGAAUACCAGUGGCGAAGGCGGCCUUCUGGACUGACCAUGACGCUGAGGUGGGAAAGCGUGGGUAGCAAACAGGAUUAGAUACCCGUGUAGUC
Molecule: ribosomal RNA, 464 nt
Filed under: Vreelandella stevensii
Lineage: Bacteria; Pseudomonadati; Pseudomonadota; Gammaproteobacteria; Oceanospirillales; Halomonadaceae
Description: partial 16S ribosomal RNA
Rfam family: Bacterial small subunit ribosomal RNA
Source: RNAcentral